Molecule: ribosomal RNA, 142 nt
Filed under: uncultured eukaryote
Lineage: Eukaryota
Description: partial 18S ribosomal RNA
Rfam family: Eukaryotic small subunit ribosomal RNA
Source: RNAcentral
UGGUGGAGUGAUUUGUCUGGUUAAUUCCGUUAACGAACGAGACCGCCGCCUGCUAAAUAGCUAGGAGAAUGGUUUUUCAUUGUCUAGAGCUUCUUAGAGGGACAUCUGUACUACAAGUCAGAGGAAGAUGGCGGCAAUAACA